Molecule: ribosomal RNA, 101 nt
Filed under: uncultured bacterium
Lineage: Bacteria
Description: partial 16S ribosomal RNA
Rfam family: Bacterial small subunit ribosomal RNA
Source: RNAcentral
CACACCGCCCGUCAAGUCACCUGAAUUGUCUGCACCCGAAGCCGAUGGCCGAACCAGCUUGCUGGACGGAGUCGUCGAAGGUGUGGGGAGUAAGGGGGACU